UGGGUUAGUAUUGAAAAACUCCCUUAAGUUUUGUGUAAAUCCAUAUGUGAUCUGUAUAUAUAUUCUAGCUUAAAAGAUAUCUAGAAAUUUUUUCUUAGAUAGCCAUUUUUAAUUUAUUUUCACAAAAAUGGAUCCACAAAGAGGAAAAUGACCAAAAACGUUUUUAUUGAAAGGUAUAUAUGCAUUUAUGCCUUUAGAGUUAACUUUUUGUUUUGUUUUUAACGGUUGAUAUAUUAUGCUAUUACAAACUCUGAGAAAUAUUACAGACGAUUCUACAGCCGAUAAUUCUACAUGCCUUAUGAGGAUUCAUGCAUGACUGCAUCACUUGAGCCGCCCUAUCGGAUCCAUGCUUGACGGUACUCCUUGCGCCAUGCU
This 375-nucleotide long non-coding RNA is filed under the name Brassica napus (rape). RNAcentral's name for it is "long non-coding RNA (BNAP_LNC008072)". Lineage: Eukaryota; Viridiplantae; Streptophyta; Magnoliopsida; Brassicales; Brassicaceae. The record is from RNAcentral.